GAUGAACGCUGGCGGCGUGCCUAAUACAUGCAAGUCGAGCGAACGGACGAGAAGCUUGCUUCUCUGAUGUUAGCGGCGGACGGGUGAGUAACACGUGGAUAACCUACCUAUAAGACUGGGAUAACUUCGGGAAACCGGAGCUAAUACCGGAUGAUAUUUUGAACCGCAUGGUUCAAAAGUGAAAGACGGUCUUGCUGUCACUUAUAGAUGGAUCCGCGCUGCAUUAGCUAGUUGGUAAGGUAACGGCUUACCAAGGCAACGAUGCAUAGCCGACCUGAGAGGGUGAUCGGCCACACUGGAACUGAGACACGGUCCAGACUCCUACGGGAGGCAGCAGUAGGGAAUCUUACGCAAUGGGCGAAAGCAUGACGGAGCAACGCCGCGUGAGUGAUGAAGGUCUUCGGAUCGUAAAAAUCUGUUAUUAGGGAAGAACAUAUGUGUAAGUAACUGUGCACAUCUUGACGGUACCUAAUCAGAAAGCCACGGCUAACUACGUG
RNAcentral lists this ribosomal RNA (497 nucleotides) under uncultured bacterium. RNAcentral's name for it is "partial 16S ribosomal RNA". It matches the Rfam family "Bacterial small subunit ribosomal RNA", at positions 28 to 507 of the family's 1533-position model. The record is from RNAcentral.